RNAcentral lists this ribosomal RNA (488 nucleotides) under uncultured bacterium. RNAcentral's name for it is "bacterial SSU rRNA". It matches the Rfam family "Bacterial small subunit ribosomal RNA", at positions 28 to 506 of the family's 1533-position model. The record is from RNAcentral.
GAUGAACGCUAGCUACAGGCUUAACACAUGCAAGUCGAGGGGCAGCAUGGUCUUAGCUUGCUAAGGCCGAUGGCGACCGGCGCACGGGUGAGUAACACGUAUCCAACCUGCCGUCUACUCUUGGACAGCCUUCUGAAAGGAAGAUUAAUACAAGAUGGCAUCAUGAGUCCGCAUGUUCACAUGAUUAAAGGUAUUCCGGUAGACGAUGGGGAUGCGUUCCAUUAGAUAGUAGGCGGGGUAACGGCCCACCUAGUCUUCGAUGGAUAGGGGUUCUGAGAGGAAGGUCCCCCACAUUGGAACUGAGACACGGUCCAAACUCCUACGGGAGGCAGCAGUGAGGAAUAUUGGUCAAUGGGCGAGAGCCUGAACCAGCCAAGUAGCGUGAAGGAUGACUGCCCUAUGGGUUGUAAACUUCUUUUAUAAAGGAAUAAAGUCGGGUAUGGAUACCCGUUGCAUGUACUUUAUGAAUAAGGAUCGGCUAACUCCGU